This is a long non-coding RNA of Taeniopygia guttata (zebra finch), 2684 nucleotides long. RefSeq lists it as uncharacterized. Lineage: Eukaryota; Metazoa; Chordata; Aves; Passeriformes; Estrildidae. The record is from RefSeq and is a predicted model, not a curated record.
GCAGGAUUGUCCCUAGAGUCCAUUUGAGAUGGGCGCAGAAAUUUAGUUCAGGUAAUUAUCCUUUCUUUUCAAGUGAAUUAAGGAACCAGGAAUUCCUGCUUAUCUGACAGAAGUGUAGAUUUCCUUCCUUAAUGCUUGUCACCUGCGAGACAAGUCACACAGGUAAAUCUCAAACUGUGCCUUUGUGCCCCAUCUAAAGUGGAUUUUGGAUGUCUCUGCGGAGUAAUGCUCCAAGGACGUUAUAGUUCAGAGAAAAUGGUAAUGUCUGUGUAUAAAAUGUGAAUUACUUUAAUAGGCUUUGGCAGCACAAGUCUCAACAAGACGAUCCACCCCUGCUAAUCUAGAGCAUACGGGUUUUCUCUUCCUUUUCUUUUUUUUUUAAAAAGUCUGAAUAUAAUUUCUCUAAGCUGCAAUUUAUAAUGCUAACGUUUUACCGUUUUACCCCCCUCAUUAAGGAGAGGAAGAAAGCUUCUAAGCCACUCUAUUGAGCUGUUGAAAAACGUCUUACAUUGAAAUUCUGAUUUAGAGAUAGGCACAAUCCAUCUGCUUUGCAUACCUUUGCCCUUUAAACCAGUAUUUGUGAUAUAAAGAAGCACACAGCUUGCAGAGUAGCUGAAAUGUGUACUUCCAUUUUUUAUCUAGGAGAACACCGUGAACAGGUUAAAGGGGCAGAAAUGCAGCAGUUUGGCUGAGCUAUCCCAGAAGCUUCCUACAGUUUACCUACAUUUCUCCUGGCAGGAUGUGAGCAUCCUAUGAGAAGGAAAACCUCACCAAUAACUUACAAAGUAAGUUGGUGAAUAAAAAAAUAAAAACUCACCACCUUUGGCCUCUACCAACCCCAGUGAACAGGAAUAUAAUUAAAAAAUGGAAUUUCACCUUUCCAACAGAAUAAACUCGACAUCCAGAUGUGGGCACAGGAUCCACCAGCACUCCCUUAAGCCAGCAGGGAUCCUUGUUUUAUAAAAAUAGAAUCACAUUUUAGGCUUGAGUCUAUUACACAGCAGCAGUUCCUGUUGAGAGCAUCUCUGGGCAUCCAGCUCAGUGAUUUCAAAAGAGAAAAGCCUCAGUGGCACUGAUUAAUGGAAAGGCCUGGAUAUACUGGUGGAUCUGGAAAGCAUCUCGUAAUCUUUGACAGACAAGAUGUUUCUUAUUCUGAUGGGAUUUGAUCAUUGUUUAUGAAAUUAUGUGAGUGACAUAGCAUCACUGUUAUUUUUAUCCUGGCAUUACAGCUGGUCUAAUAAUUUGGGUAAUAAAGUUACUUAUUUUGGCAAUAAAUCAUCAUAUGUAUCCAGAGUUCUUAUCAACAUUUUCAUUUAUUAAUAUUCCCUGUCAGAAAUCUUAUCAAUAUUUUUCCACAUUUGUUUUUUUUAGAAAUCCUCUGAUUUAAACUUGUAUUAAACUUGUAUUAAUGCAAACCAGUUGAUUUAUUUUAAAUGGUGACAUCAUUUUACUCCAGUCUGUAGAGGUUUACACUUAGCCUGAAUUAAAGUGUCCACACUGACUUUAACAGGAAUAUUUCCAGUUUAUCAGGUGGCUGUUUAGAAUAUGCAUUUUUUUAUUAUACACCAAAUUUUCAUUUCCAUCUCCAUAUGCAUUUACACCUGUGUUUGAACCUGUGUGAGCAUACACUUGUUUUCAUCAUUUUCCCAUGUGGUUUCUGCCUAUUUUUCCUUUCCUUUUCCACAGAAGAAUCACAGAAAUCAUGAAGGCUGGCAAAGGCUCCCAAACUCAUCCAGCUCACCUUUCUAAACACAACUGAGGGAAAUAUUUACAAUGGUUUUAUUAUUAAGAAUGUUGCUAAGAAAAACAUUAAAAAAUUAAUAAAAAUAACUGAAAAUUAUAACUUGUAAUAACCUAUCUCAAAAUUUCUGAAAACCAGAAAAUCCUCGAGACAGAACAAUCUCUUUGACAGCUGGAUGGGUGAGUAACACAUCACAUUUAUGCUGGGAAAGGAGAAUGAAAACCCAUCCUGAAGGAACAAGAGGUGGGAUAAAAACACCAGAGGUUACUUUACCAUAAGUCAAGUCCAGCCAACUACUACCAGUAGUAACUCAGAUCUCAAGGAAAGCUGAGGACACUCCUGAAAUAAUGAAAAUUUUCUUCCUGAAAUAAUGAUCAGCACAGGAAAAUGAAGACAUUCUGUGGAUGAACAGACCAUCGCAGGCUGAACAUGAUCGAUUCUACGUGGAGAGUUAAUAAUUUAUCAUUAAGGAACAAACUGAGAAAGAAUUUAUGCUGUCAGUUCAUGCAGUGGGGAUAAAAGAAGAUAUUUAUUUAGCUCUGUUUUUGCAAUAAUAAAAUUUGGAUUAAUUUACAGCAGCAGCUCAGUGGAGAUGUCUGCUCCAUAAAGGGAGGGAAGGCAAAGAGGGAACCAUGGAGCAAAUAUAAUUGUCUUGAAAGCUGUGGUUUAACAGAAACAAGCCUGGAAAAGAUUCCUUGAGCCACUGAGUUAAGCCCAGCUCCUCCUUCUCUCACUGUAUAAAAUUCUCACCAGAGCUCACUCUGAAAGAACUGAAUGUAAAUAUAAAUCUUCAGCUGAAAUACAGCAGAAGUUCUACAAACCCCAGCGUGCUCACAUCUGUCACAGCCACUUUGCACUAAGACUUUAAGAAACUUGUGUUACAGCUCAGCCAUCAGAUUUGAUUUUCCUACCACCUUGAACACCUAAAAAGAUUUUGGAGGCA